Molecule: ribosomal RNA, 478 nt
Filed under: uncultured bacterium
Lineage: Bacteria
Description: partial 16S ribosomal RNA
Rfam family: Bacterial small subunit ribosomal RNA
Source: RNAcentral
GAUGAACGCUGGCGGCGUGCUUAACACAUGCAAGUCGAACGAGAAGUGGAGACGGAAACCUUCGGGCGGAAGACUUUAUUUCGAGUGGCGGACGGGUGAGUAACGCGUGGGUAACCUGCCUCAUACAGGGGGAUAACAGUUGGAAACGACUGUUAAUACCGCAUAAGACCACAGCACCGCAUGGUGCGGGGGUAAAAACUCCGGUGGUAUGAGAUGGACCCGCGUACGAUUAGCCAGUUGGCGGGGUAACGGCCCACCAAAGCGACGAUCGAUAGCCGAGCUGAGAGGAUGACCCGCCACAUUGGGACUGAGACACGGCCCAAACUCCUACGGGAGGCAGCAGUGGGGAAUAUUGCACAAUGGGGGAAACCCUGAUGCAGCGACGCCGCGUGAGUGAAGAAGUAUUUCGGUAUGUAAAGCUCUAUCAGCAGGGAAGAAAAUGACGGUACCUGAGUAAGAAGCCCCGGCUAACUACGUG